RNAcentral lists this long non-coding RNA (407 nucleotides) under Phoenix dactylifera (date palm). RNAcentral's name for it is "long non-coding RNA (PDAC_LNC021017)". The record is from RNAcentral. Lineage: Eukaryota; Viridiplantae; Streptophyta; Magnoliopsida; Arecales; Arecaceae.
UCCUCCUCCUCCUCUUCUCCCGACUUCUUCUCCUCCCCCCUUUCUUUCUUCUUCUUUCUUCUCCCGCAAAGGGAGGUCGGCGAGCUCGAGAGACGUCAAGACGAGGCCGGCGGCGCCCGCGGCGGCCGGCUCUCUCCUUCCCACGGAGGAGGUAUGCGCACGGGAGAAGAGGAAAAGCCCGCAGCAGUCGGCCUUCUCCUUCUUCCCUCUCUUCUCCUUUCUUUCUUUCUUUCUCUCUUUCUCUUUCCACUAUUCCUUCUCUGUUUUCACUGAACAGAGAAGAGGAACAAGGGAAGGUGGUGCUCUCCGGUCCUCAAGGUGGCCACCACUGAGGGCCGGCGACGCCUGUGGCCGAAGGCAUGCCGACUGCCACAGGUGCCUCCCCUCCUUUUCCUUCUCUCUUCUUC